GCUUCUAGACUGCCUGAAUGAGCUCAACC
RNAcentral lists this non-coding RNA (29 nucleotides) under Rattus norvegicus (Norway rat). The record is from RNAcentral. Lineage: Eukaryota; Metazoa; Chordata; Mammalia; Rodentia; Muridae.